CCUACGGGAGGCAGCAGUGAGGAAUAUUGGUCAAUGGGCGCUAGCCUGAACCAGCCAAGUAGCGUGAAGGAUGACUGCCCUAUGGGUUGUAAACCUCUUUUGUCGGGGAGCAAAAGCCGGACGUGUCCGGCUGUGAGAGUACCCGAAGAAAAAGCAUCGGCUAACUCCGUGCCAGCAGCCGCGGUAAUACGGAGGAUGCGAGCGUUAUCCGGAUUUAUUGGGGUUAAAGGGUGCGCAGGCGGAUUUUUAAGUCAGCGGUCAAAUCGUGGGGCUCAACCCCAUCCAGCCGUUGAAACUGGGGAUCUAGAGUGUGCGAGAGGUAUGCGGAAUGCGUGGUGUAGCGGUGAAAUGCAUAGAUAUCACGCAGAACCCCGAUUGCGAAGGCAGCAUACCGGUGCACAACUGACGCUCAGGCACGAAAGCGUGGGUAUCGAACAGGAUUAGAUACCCGUGUAGUC
Molecule: ribosomal RNA, 458 nt
Filed under: uncultured bacterium
Lineage: Bacteria
Description: partial 16S ribosomal RNA
Rfam family: Bacterial small subunit ribosomal RNA
Source: RNAcentral